Molecule: long non-coding RNA, 1742 nt
Organism: Gallus gallus (chicken)
Lineage: Eukaryota; Metazoa; Chordata; Aves; Galliformes; Phasianidae
Exons: 4
Source: RefSeq, a predicted model, not a curated record
CGGGGGCAGCGGCGGGGGGCAGCCAGCACGGCUCCGGCACGGCGAUCCCCGCCGCCAGCCCGCCCCGCUCCGCCUGGCACCGCCUGCACGAGGAAGGCUGCCUCCUGUUCUCUUCUUUUUUUUCCCCUUCAUCCCGCUGUGAUGGGAUGAGGGGGAUGGAAACGGUUUCGCGAGUAGGGGGGGUUUAGGCUGAGCGUAAAGAAGAAGCUUUUCGUGCUUCUUGCGCUGGGAGUGCCUCCCCAUCCCUGCGGGCACACCGGGUGGGGAGGGUGGGCUCCGAGCACUGAUGGAGCUGCGGGUGUCCCUGUUUGGUGGAGUGGGACCAGAUGGCCUUUAAAGGUCCCUUCCAACUUAAAUUCUAUGAGCAGUCGGUUUUCUGUUAGGAGCUGUGGUGGGUGUGCUGUGAGGUCCAGCCAGGACAGCCCCAGAGGGGCAAAACACAAAACUGAAGCCAAAAUUAAGUGGUGUGGCUGUCGGAGAUUGGGCGCGUUAACAAGACGGAGUUCCCUACCUUUGGAUGCUACGUGGGAGCAACUGUGCAGGAAGAAUCCCACCUGGAAGUGAAAAGAAAGCAUCCCUUAAAUACAGCACAAGAGACGCCCCACAGGUCCUACAAGGAGGUGCCAGGUUAACCCUGCCUUCCUGCUGGGGAGGAACAGACUCACUCAGAUCUCUUCUACCUGCUCUCCAAUGGGAUCUCAUGGUGCUCCCCCUGUCCCCUCUGCUCCCAGCUCCCCACAUCUGCUGGUGGACCACGGUGGGAUGAGCCACUGCUUCCCACCCAUACAGGUGGGGGCAGACGGCUCUCUGAGGUUCAGCGGGUCUGGGGAUGCAAAGUAAGCCCUAAACCUCAUCUCCUGACACUGCCUGGCCACGCUCCUUCCCCUUGCCUGUUUAUCCUCAAGGAAUGCAAGCUCUGGGAGCAAUCCUCUCGCUUCCAGUUCUAAUGAAGGAGGCAGAUACACACACCCAUCAAACCCUCUCAUUUAGGCUUUCAGGCUUAGGCUCUCAUUCUUAAUGCCUCCGACUGCUCAAGAUGACAGGGGAAAAAUCACUUUCUAUUAUCACCUAUGAACCAAGAACAAUGCUUGGAAGAGGCACAGGGAGAUGCAGGCAUUGGUGCUCAGGCAGCAUCUACUCCGCUGCGCUUUGAUCCUGAACAAACCCAAGCACUUGAUGCCUGUGCUAUGGGUGAAGGCACUGAAAUUCACUACCAAGUCCUCCUGCUGCAAUAAAGCUCUCUCUGGGUGUGAACACAUAAUCCUUCGUUUGCUCAGAGAGGCACAAUGGCAGCAAAGGGAAUAAACAGCUAUCAUCUCCUAUGGCUUGGUCCCUCACUGCUGGAAUACAUCGUGCAGGCCUGAAACAAAACCCGGACCUUUUGUUCCUCUCCAUGUGUCAACAGCAGCAAAGGGAGAGCUGUCCUGCAGAGCACACUGCAAGAAGAGAUGGUGCUGCAAGCACAAAGUUCACAGGUAAGGAUUUCCCUCUUCCUUCUGCCUCCAGCUUCACAAAUGACCUACCCUGGACAGGCCUCCAUUUCUCUAUCUGUAAGAGAAAGGGGAGCUUUCUAAACGGCACUUGUUAUUUCCAUGCAUAAAAAGAGCACUUAGAGGAAUCACCAGCAAAACGAGUUUGCAGUUUCAGGCACUGGACACCUUCCCUGUACUUCCUUCUGUAUUUACCAUCUUCUUUUUUUUGGCCAAAACUGCAAUUAAAGCCACAUCUUUCCCUCUCACCUA